GACGAACGCUGGCGGCGUGCUUAACACAUGCAAGUCGAACGGAAAGGCCCUGCUUUUGUGGGGUGCUCGAGUGGCGAACGGGUGAGUAACACGUGAGUAACCUGCCCUUGACUUUGGGAUAACUUCAGGAAACUGGGGCUAAUACCGGAUAGGAGCUCCUGCUGCAUGGUGGGGGUUGGAAAGUUUCGGCGGUUGGGGAUGGACUCGCGGCUUAUCAGCCUGUUGGUGGGGUAGUGGCUUACCAAGGCUUUGACGGGUAGCCGGCCUGAGAGGGUGACCGGCCACAUUGGGACUAAGAUACGGCCCAGACUCCUACGGGAGGCAGCAGUGGGGAAUAUUGCACAAUGGGCGGAAGCCUGAUGCAGCAACGCCGCGUGCGGGAUGACGGCCUUCGGGUUGUAAACCGCUUUCGCCUGUGACGAGGCGUGAGUGACGGUAAUGGGUAAAGAAGCACCGGCUAACUACGUG
This 468-nucleotide ribosomal RNA is filed under the name uncultured bacterium. Its description in RNAcentral is "partial 16S ribosomal RNA". It matches the Rfam family "Bacterial small subunit ribosomal RNA", at positions 28 to 507 of the family's 1533-position model. The record is from RNAcentral.